GUUACAGUCGGGGGCAUUUGUAUUUCAUAGUCAGAGGUAAAAUUCUUGGAUUUAUGAAAGAUGAACAACUGCGAAAGCAUUUUCCAAGGAUGUCUUCAUU
RNAcentral lists this ribosomal RNA (100 nucleotides) under Brassica napus (rape). Its description in RNAcentral is "rRNA SSU_rRNA_eukarya". It matches the Rfam family "Eukaryotic small subunit ribosomal RNA", at positions 875 to 974 of the family's 1831-position model. The record is from RNAcentral. Lineage: Eukaryota; Viridiplantae; Streptophyta; Magnoliopsida; Brassicales; Brassicaceae.